GAUGAACGCUGGCGGCGUGCUUAACACAUGCAAGUCGAACGGCAACGUGCCGUAGCUUGGUAGGUUUAUUGCGGGUAGCGAACGUGUAACUAGUGCAUCGGAACGUGCCUUCUAGGGGAUGAUUACGUAACGAAAGUUACAAUAAUACCGCAGAGUCUCUGAGGAGGGGAGCGGGGGACAUUCUUGCCGUGGGCUGGAAGAGCGGCCGAUGUCGGAUUAGCUAGUUGGGGAGGUGAAGGCUCAACAGGGCAACGAUCCGGAGCGGGUCUGAGAGGAUGAUCCGCCACACUGGGACUGAGACACGGCCCAGACUCCUACGGGAGGCAGCAGUGGGGCAUUUUGGACAAUGGGCGCAAGCCUGAUCCAGCCAUGCCGAGUGAGUGAAGAAGGCCUUCGGGUUGUAAAGCUCUUUCGGCUGGGAAGAAAUCGCACCCUCUAAGACAGGGUGUGGAUGACGGUACCAGCAGAAGAAGCACCGGCUAACUACGUG
Molecule: ribosomal RNA, 490 nt
Filed under: uncultured bacterium
Lineage: Bacteria
Description: partial 16S ribosomal RNA
Rfam family: Bacterial small subunit ribosomal RNA
Source: RNAcentral